UGGGGAAUUUUGGACAAUGGGCGAAAGCCUGAUCCAACAAUGCCGCGUGUGUGAAGAAGGCCUUCGGGUUGUAAAGCACUUUUGUCCGGAAAGAAAUCCUUGGCUCUAAUACAGUCGGGGGAUGACGGUACCGGAAGAAUAAGCACCGGCUAACUACGUGCCAGCAGCCGCGGUAAUACGUAGGGUGCAAGCGUUAAUCGGAAUUACUGGGCGUAAAGCGUGCGCAGGCGGUUUGCUAAGACCGAUGUGAAAUCCCCGGGCUCAACCUGGGAACUGCAUUGGUGACUGGCAGGCUAGAGUAUGGCAGAGGGGGGUAGAAUUCCACGUGUAGCAGUGAAAUGCGUAGAGAUGUGGAGGAAUACCGAUGGCGAAGGCAGCCCCCUGGGCCAAUACUGACGCUCAUGCACGAAAGCGUGGGGAGCAAACAGGAUUAGAUACCCUGGUAGUCCACGCCCUAAACGAUGUCAACUAGUUGUUGGGGAUUCAUUUCCUUAGUAACGUAGCUAACGCGUGAAGUUGACCGCCUGGGGAGUACGGUCGCAAGAUUAAAACUUAAA
RNAcentral lists this ribosomal RNA (557 nucleotides) under uncultured bacterium. RNAcentral describes it as "partial 16S ribosomal RNA". It matches the Rfam family "Bacterial small subunit ribosomal RNA", at positions 355 to 905 of the family's 1533-position model. The record is from RNAcentral.